AUGAUACAAAGGUGGCAGCCUGUAGAGAAUUCCAAACCUCAGAGUGAUGGAAUAACGGGAACUUACAGAGUUGAUGUUGACAUUCCUGCUGAUGAUUGGGCAAAUAUCACCGAGUUCUACGACGUGCUCAUUUUCAACACUGGACACUGGUGGGGUCCGGAUAAAUUCCCAAAAGAGACUCCCCUUGUUUUCUACCGAGGAGGAAAACCAAUCGAGCCUCCACUCAGCAUCUUUGAUGGACUGAAGGUAGUCCUCAAAAGUAUGAGCUCGUACAUCGAAAGGGAGGUCCCAAGUACAACAAUGAAGCUGUGGCGCACACAAUCACCCAGGCACUUUGAGGGAGGCGAAUGGGAUCACAACGGCAGUUGCUUGUCUAAGAGGCUCCUCGAAGAACACGAGCUGGAUUCUUGGUUCGAUCCCAGGUUUGGGGGAGUCAACAAGGAAGCGAGAUUAGUAAAUUCAGUGAUCGGGGAAGCUCUAGUCGGCACGGAUAUCCAGCUGCUCAACCUGACCUACAUGAGCGAGUUCCGCGCCGACGCCCAUCCAGCUAUCUGGCUCGGGAAGAAGGACGCGGUGGCCGUCUGGGGGCAGGACUGCAUGCACUGGUGCCUGCCAGGCGUACCGGACGCGUGGGUCGACAUCUUGACCGCACGCAUCUUGCACUACUUCAAGCAGGGCAAUGGUUGA
Molecule: ribosomal RNA, 687 nt
Filed under: Triticum aestivum (bread wheat)
Lineage: Eukaryota; Viridiplantae; Streptophyta; Magnoliopsida; Poales; Poaceae
Description: partial small subunit ribosomal RNA
Source: RNAcentral